CCUACGGGUGGCAGCAGUGGGGAAUAUUGGGCAAUGGGCGCAAGCCUGACCCAGCAACGCCACGUGAAGGAAGAAGGCUUUCGGGUUGUAAACUUCUUUUCUCAGGGACGAAGCAAGUGACGGUACCUGAGGAAUAAGCCACGGCUAACUACGUGCCAGCAGCCGCGGUAAUACGUAGGUGGCAAGCGUUAUCCGGAUUUACUGGGUGUAAAGGGCGUGUAGGCGGGACUGCAAGUCAGAUGUAAAAACCACGGGCUCAACCUGUGGCCGGCAUUGGAAACGGUAGUUUUUGAGUACUGGGGAGGAAGACGGAAUUCCGAGUGUAGCGGGGAAAGGCG
RNAcentral lists this ribosomal RNA (338 nucleotides) under uncultured bacterium. Its description in RNAcentral is "partial 16S ribosomal RNA". It matches the Rfam family "Bacterial small subunit ribosomal RNA", at positions 338 to 690 of the family's 1533-position model. The record is from RNAcentral.